CCUACGGGAGGCAGCAGUGGGGAAUAUUGGACAAUGGGGGUAACCCUGAUCCAGCCAUGCCGCGUGUGUGAAGAAGGCCCUCGGGUUGUAAAGCACUUUCAGUGAGGAAGAACGCCUGGUGGUUAAUACCCAUCAGGAAAGACAUCACUCACAGAAGAAGCACCGGCUAACUCCGUGCCAGCAGCCGCGGUAAUACGGAGGGUGCGAGCGUUAAUCGGAAUUACUGGGCGUAAAGCGCGCGUAGGUGGCUUGAUAAGCCGGUUGUGAAAGCCCCGGGCUCAACCUGGGAACGGCAUCCGGAACUGUCAAGCUAGAGUGCAGGAGAGGAAGGUAGAAUUCCCGGUGUAGCGGUGAAAUGCGUAGAGAUCGGGAGGAAUACCAGUGGCGAAGGCGGCCUUCUGGACUGACACUGACACUGAGGUGCGAAAGCGUGGGUAGCAAACAGGAUUAGAUACCCGAGUAGUC
RNAcentral lists this ribosomal RNA (465 nucleotides) under Vreelandella stevensii. RNAcentral describes it as "partial 16S ribosomal RNA". It matches the Rfam family "Bacterial small subunit ribosomal RNA", at positions 338 to 795 of the family's 1533-position model. The record is from RNAcentral. Lineage: Bacteria; Pseudomonadati; Pseudomonadota; Gammaproteobacteria; Oceanospirillales; Halomonadaceae.